RNAcentral lists this non-coding RNA (56 nucleotides) under unclassified sequences. Its description in RNAcentral is "Na+-I sequence". It matches the Rfam family "Na+ riboswitch aptamer (DUF1646)". Rfam says of the family: Proteobacteria, NC10, Acidobacteria, Verrucomicrobia. Lineage (Clostridia) The riboswitch of Na+ was first reported in a comparative analysis of intergenic regions and called DUF1646 RNA, it was also suggested that it acts as cis-reg RNA present upstream of Na+ genes. Afterward it was reported as a riboswitch that selectively senses Na+. The record is from Rfam by way of RNAcentral.
GGUUGGAUGAAUUUUUUAAUUCAUUUUCAAGAUCUGGCUUUUUAGGGUGGAAAGCU